RNAcentral lists this ribosomal RNA (508 nucleotides) under uncultured bacterium. RNAcentral's name for it is "partial 16S ribosomal RNA". It matches the Rfam family "Bacterial small subunit ribosomal RNA", at positions 28 to 507 of the family's 1533-position model. The record is from RNAcentral.
GACGAACGCUGGCGGCGUGCCUAAUACAUGCAAGUCGAACGCUUCUUUCCUCCCGAGUGCUUGCACUCAAUUGGAAAAAGGAGUGGCGGACGGGUGAGUAACACGUGGGUAACCUACCCAUCAGAGGGGGAUAACACUUGGAAACAGGUGCUAAUACCGCAUAACAGUUUAUGCCGCAUGGCAUAAGAGUGAAAGGCGCUUUCGGGUGUCGCUGAUGGAUGGACCCGCGGUGCAUUAGCUAGUUGGUAAGGUAACGGCUCACCAAGGCCACGAUGCAUAGCCGACCUGAGAGGGUGAUCGGCCACACUGGGACUGAGACACGGCCCAGACUCCUACGGGAGGCAGCAGUAGGGAAUCUUCGGCAAUGGACGAAAGUCUGACCGAGCAACGCCGCGUGAGUGAAGAAGGUUUUCGGAUCGUAAAACUCUGUUGUUAGAGAAGAACAAGGACGUUAGUAACUGAACGUCCCCUGACGGUAUCUAACCAGAAAGCCACGGCUAACUACGUG